This 378-nucleotide ribosomal RNA is filed under the name uncultured microorganism. RNAcentral's name for it is "bacterial SSU rRNA". It matches the Rfam family "Archaeal small subunit ribosomal RNA", at positions 330 to 713 of the family's 1478-position model. The record is from RNAcentral.
GCGCAGCAGGCGCGAAUACUUUACAAUGUGCGAAAGCACGAUAAGGGAACUCUGAGUGCCUCCUAAGGAGGCUGUUCAGGUGUCUAAAAAGCACCUGGAGUAAGGGCUGGGUAAGACCGGUGCCAGCCGCCGCGGUAACACCGGCAGCCCAGGUGGUAGCCACUUUUAUUGGGUCUAAAGCGUCCGUAGCCGGUUGAGUAAGUUCCUUGGGAAAUUUGGCUGCUCAACAGUCAAGCUUCCAGGGAAUACUGCUCGACUUGGGACUGGGAGAGGUCAGAGGUACUCCAGGGGUAGGGGUGAAAUCCAUUAAUCCCUGGGGGACCACCGGUAGCGAAGGCGUCUGACCAGACCAGGUCCGACGGUGAGGGACGAAGGCUA